Long non-coding RNA from Salvia miltiorrhiza (redroot sage), 3594 nucleotides. RefSeq lists it as uncharacterized. The record is from RefSeq and is a predicted model, not a curated record. NCBI's taxonomy places the organism in Eukaryota, Viridiplantae, Streptophyta, Magnoliopsida, Lamiales, Lamiaceae. The transcript is spliced from 2 exons.
UUUCAUUUUUAAUCAGUCAGAUUUGACUGGAUUGUAUGGUACCCUGGGGUACACAAGACUUGCUCAAAAAAAAUUAGGGUUUGAAAUUGAAUUAACCACUUACCCGGCGCCUCCAUACCAUAUUCUUCCUUCAUUUCAGUCGGCGGUCGCACACCAGACACCACAACUCCACGCCGUCCGCCUCUGCUUCAGCCGCCGCCUCCACUCGCGUCACCACCCCGACUCUGCCGAAAGCCGCCUAAGCUAUCAUCUGGUACGCUCUGCUUCUCGAGCAACGAUCCCUUCGCCCUCGUGCUAAGAUCUUGAUGCUUUGUCAGUUGAAAUUCUUAGCAAUCGCUGUAUAGAGAUAUAAAUUUUAUUGGCAAAUGCAGCAGCUGUUUGUUUAUAAUUAGAUGCUUUGUAUGUUUACAAAUGCAGCAGCUAUAAAUUUUGAUGCUUUGUAUGUUUACUUUGCCGAUACUUUGAUGAAAUUGACUUCAUAAAAAUAAACAGAUUAUAUGUUUUUUAAUGGGCAAAUGCAGCAGCUGUGUCUGUAAUGUAGUAGUAACUUAAUCUCAGUUUAUUCAGAUUGGGGAUUUUGAUUUCUAAUAAGGAUUUUGCUUUUAUCGGCAUGUAUGUUGUGUUUUUCGCCAUUUAUUUUUCUUGAUUUGUCUGUGUGCGAGCAGUUCAUUAGGAGCAGAUACCAAAUCAAGUUGAUAACAAUUUGCAUGAAUCUUUGUUUCACACUUUAGUCACGAGGGAUUGUCUUCUCUCUAUGAUGCGUGUCAUGCUUUAUUUCAUCUGGAUAUCAACAUUAUAAAUUUGGUAUCAUUAUUAUAAAAUACAGUAAAAAAAUUGACAUGUUAUCAUUUAGGUGAAGCUGAUCGUCUAAUUAACUGUUCCUUCAUUUUAUACGAACUGCUUUAAAGUUUGACAUGAUAAAAACUAACAUCGUUGGUUUAUAUUUUUCCAUGUCAGAAUUCUUGUGAUUGUUAGAAUUUUCUGCCAAAAGGAACAUGAUUUGAUUCAAAGUAAAUGAGCUAGCUGCAUGAAAUAUUAGUUCUUUCUACUAUUAACAAAGGAAUUAUAUAAAGCUUGCCAAAUCAUAAAGUUGAAUCAUGAAUUCGUGAUCUUGUCUUUUUUAUUGCGAUUUUAUACAUAUAUAAUGAUCAUUAAGAAUAAUAAAAUACAAAAGAUAAUUUAUUUUUAAGCCUUUCACCCGAUUUUUCCGAUGGGCUAGCCCGAAACUCGAACGUUUCGGGUUAGGGUUGAAAAUUUCUAACCCGAAAAAUUUUCAGCCUGAUUAGGCCGCACUCAAUUAACCUGACAACCCGAUAUAGCUGGCCCGAUUGACAUCCCCAUUCCCCACUUAAAACAAAGUUUAGAAAUAGGACAACAAUACCACCAAAGCCCUUUUAUACAAAAACCUAGACGCCAUUACAAACCUGCAAUUUCCCAUUUUCUUCUUUGUUGCCACUUACCGUUGCCGCUGCUGCUCUCUCUCUAGCAUGGGAGAAUAAAAGGCAUUUUCGUUUUUCUUCUAUUUCUUGUUCUGUUUUCUGACUUUUAUUCUGUCAAUCAGUCAUUGGUCUGAAAAGCUGAUAACAUUUGGCUGAUUUCACUCUGUUUUCUUCUACAUAAUAUUUUUCAUAAUUGCUAUGUUUUGUUUCUGUGUUGGUGUAAAUGAUGUGAUGUGUGAUAUUAGGUUCUUAUGCUCUGGAUAUUUUGGGGGAUUGUAGAAAUUACCAUUUGUUUCAAUACUGCAAAAUGUCCCAUGGAUGAAAUAUUUAGUAAUCUGGAGCUUUGCAAAGUUGGUGCUCCCUCUUGCAAUGGAGGUUGAGGAACCAUCUCUUUAUUGCUAUGCCAGGUAGAAAAUAGGCAUUUCUGAGGGACAUCUUUUUGCAUAACAUGCUCUUCUUUUUCUUUUUUCAAAUUUUUUUAUUUUGUUUCCUUAUUUACAUUUUGCAGCUCAAAUUGGGGCCAAUGAGAUACAAAAAGUCUGAAUGAAAGUGGCUACUUAAUUGAAUUGGAUACAUCAUCUAAUGGAUAGUUUAAAUUCUUGGAAGAAUCUAUCUUAAGUUGAAAUCUAGUUGUUGGAAUUGAAGUGCUCUCAAUGAUUUCUAUUCGAAAGGUUUCAUUUUGAUUGAAGUAAAGAUUUACUCUUUUUUUAUUUCGUUUAUAUAUAUAUAUAUAUAUAUAUAUAUAUAUAUAUAUAUAUGGGAGAGUUAAAAUAAAUACACUUCUUAAGAUAUAAAAUAAGAAUCAUUUUCAACCCUUAGAUCAUCAAGAUCUACGGCUGAUUCAUAACCCUAUUGGAUGGAUUUAUGAUCCAGAGUUCGAAUCUCAAAGGUAGCAAAAAUUAAUUUUUCACAAUUCAUACAUUUAUACAACGAAUUCAUACGUGUUCUACAUAAAAUUCAUACAUUGAAAAUUGCUCCUAUUUCUUAUUUUAAGAUGUGUUCUCACGGUACCCCACCCCUAUAUAUUGAAAAUAUAUAUAUAAAUUUGGUUAUUCACAUAAUAUCAGCUUUAAUUGUCGUUUUCCAUUUUUAUAUGGUAGAGAUCUAAGAUUAUGUCAAAAUGAUUGUUUUUGCUCAAAAGCUUAAGUGAAAUAACUUGAAUAGAUUUCAGUUAACUCUAUAGUGCUGGUACAAUGCUUAUAUGUUGUAUUAUUAUCUCUUUUUUUGCACCAAGGCUUUAUUUAAUUUUUAGUCAGGUGGCUGUUUAAUGUGUUGUGGAUAACAUUUGUGAUGCGAGAUGUAGAGUACUUACAAAUCAUGUUAUCUGUAUAUUUGUCUGGUUUUGUUUAAAGAGUGUAAUCAUGUUUCGCUUAUGUAUAUUUGGUACCUCUGAGCAUGUGGAACUCCCCCUCCUCGAAGUUUAAGUAUGGCCGUUCGUCAUAAAAUCCAGAUUUGCUAGGUGUAGCAUUCUUGACUGGUCUGCUUAAUCUUGCCUAGUCUUCUAGACAGAUAUCAUAUCCCCAGGCUUGGCUAUGAGCAUUUAAUAAUCAGAUACCCAAAAACUUGGAUGAUCCUAUAUAAUAUGUUCUGUUUCUACAGCCAUACUUCGUAGACGAAUGACUUGUAGGAAGAUAGAGUAUUGAUAUUCAGUAUUCUCUUGUGAUUUAACUCUGGAUAAAGCUUAGAGUGCAUUGUACGCAGUAUGCUAGUCCAAAUGAACUUCACCAGGAACUUUUCACUUUUGAAAUAUCAGCAUUACCAGUGUUUUACAAAGUGAGUUGAAUUCAAGUUAGACAAACCAUCAUCGUCAUCUGAUUUUCUUUUCUGGCCUGUUUGGACCUCAGUGACAAAGAAGAAUGGAAUCGAUGUUGAUGGUGCAGAAGCAACCUCUUUUGCACACAUGAGGUGGUGAGUGGAUCUUGUAGUUUUAGGAGGGCUGCAAUUGAUUGUUGAAGGGUGGUAGAAAUACAGACUCAACUCGGCUUGUGAAACUACAACAACUUGGAGUGAGUGAAGAUUUGCUUUAGCUUGAUAGAAUUACAUUUUUCUUUUUUAUGCUAUACAUAUUUAAAUUUCAGCACUUGAGAAAUGGAUGGAUGUGUUUAUCUAUUAAAUAUUAUUCGUGGAGAUGAUUAUAAAUAUGUCAAGUUUUACU